GCUGGGCAUGGUGACACACACCUGUAAUCCCAGCAACUCAGGUGGCUGAGGCAGGAGGAUUGCAAGUUAGAGGCCAGCCUGAAAAACUUAGCAAGACUCUGUCUCAA
RNAcentral lists this small RNA (107 nucleotides) under Marmota monax (woodchuck). The record is from RNAcentral. Lineage: Eukaryota; Metazoa; Chordata; Mammalia; Rodentia; Sciuridae.